GAUAUCUUGUUUUUAAACAAAAAUAUUAAUCUAUCCUAGACACAUCUAAAUGAAAGAUUCCUGAUCCCAGUCUUCUUUAGGUUGAUGGUGGUCUGCAGACUCACUUUGUGCUAUCCAUGGGUGAUCUUAGUCUAGACCUUAGCCAACAGGCUAUGCUUGACCUAGGAGAAGAAAUUUAUCUGGAAGGAACAAAUUACCAGCCAUAUUACAGCAAGAACAUAGCUCUUUUCUGCUCCACUAACAAGAUAUUUGGACCUUAUAUAGUAGCAGUGGUCUUGCUCUUCCAGUAAAACAGGUCAUACUGCUGCAGGAAUAGACAACUUUCCUAGAACAAGUAGAACUGGAACAGAGUUUUUCUUGAUGUGUUGUCUCAAGUUACUAACAUACCACCGCAAUUCCAAGACUCUGAAUGGUUUAAUGGUUCUGCCAUUAAAACUAGCAGAACAGCACAAGACAAUUCCUAUCAACAACAGCAAGCCAGGUUGUCAUCAUUCUUCAAAAGCAUAGCUUAAAUAAAAUGGUUUGGUUGCAUUUGAGUAAGGCUAAUAAUGAAGAAACUGGAUAAGCCUCUGGGAACAUGCCUACAGCAUCAG
Long non-coding RNA from Crotalus tigris (Tiger rattlesnake), 593 nucleotides. RefSeq lists it as uncharacterized. The record is from RefSeq and is a predicted model, not a curated record. The transcript is spliced from 3 exons. NCBI's taxonomy places the organism in Eukaryota, Metazoa, Chordata, Lepidosauria, Squamata, Viperidae.